CCCUCGGGCGGAGGGAGGGACCGCUCAGGGCAGGGCUGGCCCGGUCGCUUUCUCAGCGGGGACGCCCUUAGGGCUGGGUUCGCAGAGGGUUGGGCCCCAGGCCUCGGGUCACUCGGCCGAAACCCGCCGGGCACAGAGCCGGCGCCACGCCGGGUGCGCUCGAUUCUCAGACAGCCCUGGCCCGGGGCUGCGGGGAGGCGGCGGCGCCACCCACGUGGCCUGGCUGUGCCCUCCGGGCCCUGAGCGCCCGGCGGGGGAGGGAAGGCAGCGCUUCCGGCGCCCGGGUUCACCCGAAAAUUCACGAGAAAAGCGGCUGAGGCGUAGCGUGUUCUCCGUCGGAGAGUGAGAAAAUGGCAGUGUAUGAACCAGGAAGAGUCCUCACCAGAACCCGAUCCUGCUGACCCCAGACCUGCAGCCUCCAGAACCGUGAGGAAUACACAUCGUCAUUUAAGCCUCUGCAUUUCCGUCUGCACGCAGUGGGGUGUCUCUUGCUUUUUGAUGUGUCUCAGCAGCUUGCACACAGGAAGAUGCCAAGGCCCUCGCUCGGCUGGACCCCUAGGACUCGGACCCUGCCCUCACCACAGUCUGAUGGAGGAAGCAGAUGUGAAAACGUAAAAUCAGGCUGUCUUGCGGUGUGACAAGAGUUCUCACCCAGAGUCAAGUCUGGGUGCAGUGGGGGGCAGGGGAGCAGUGCCUGCC
Balaenoptera acutorostrata (minke whale) is the source of this 699-nucleotide long non-coding RNA. RefSeq lists it as uncharacterized. The record is from RefSeq and is a predicted model, not a curated record. The transcript is spliced from 3 exons. Lineage: Eukaryota; Metazoa; Chordata; Mammalia; Artiodactyla; Balaenopteridae.